Molecule: ribosomal RNA, 460 nt
Filed under: uncultured bacterium
Lineage: Bacteria
Description: partial 16S ribosomal RNA
Rfam family: Bacterial small subunit ribosomal RNA
Source: RNAcentral
CCUACGGGUGGCUGCAGUGAGGAAUAUUGGUCAAUGGACGAGAGUCUGAACCAGCCAAGUAGCGUGAAGGAUGACUGCCCUAUGGGUUGUAAACUUCUUUUAUAUGGGAAUAAAACGUUCCACGUGUGGGAUUUUGUAUGUACCAUAUGAAUAAGGAUCGGCUAACUCCGUGCCAGCAGCCGCGGUAAUACGGAGGAUCCGAGCGUUAUCCGGAUUUAUUGGGUUUAAAGGGAGCGUAGGUGGAUUGUUAAGUCAGUUGUGAAAGUUUGCGGCUCAACCGUAAAAUUGCAGUUGAAACUGGCAGUCUUGAGUACAGUAGAGGUGGGCGGAAUUCGUGGUGUAGCGGUGAAAUGCUUAGAUAGCACGAAGAACUCCGAUUGCGAAGGCAGUUCACUGGACUGCAACUGACACUGAGGCUCGAAAGUGUGGGUAUCAAACAGGAUUAGAUACCCUUGUAGUC